AUUGAACGCUGGCGGAAUGCUUUACACAUGCAAGUCGAACGGCAGCACGGACUUCGGUCUGGUGGCGAGUGGCGAACGGGUGAGUAAUACAUCGGAACGUGCCCAGUCGUGGGGGAUAACGUAGCGAAAGCUACGCUAAUACCGCAUACGAUCUAAGGAUGAAAGCGGGGGAUCGCAAGACCUCGCGCGAUUGGAGCGGCCGAUGGCAGAUUAGGUAGUUGGUGGGGUAAAGGCCUACCAAGCCAACGAUCUGUAGCUGGUCUGAGAGGACGACCAGCCACACUGGGACUGAGACACGGCCCAGACUCCUACGGGAGGCAGCAGUGGGGAAUUUUGGACAAUGGGCGCAAGCCUGAUCCAGCCAUUCCGCGUGCAGGAUGAAGGCCCUCGGGUUGUAAACUGCUUUUGUACGGAACGAAAAGGCUCUGGUUAAUACCCGGGGCUCAUGACGGUACCGUAAGAAUAAGCACCGGCUAACUACGUGCAAGCAGCCGCCGUAA
Molecule: ribosomal RNA, 500 nt
Filed under: uncultured bacterium
Lineage: Bacteria
Description: partial 16S ribosomal RNA
Rfam family: Bacterial small subunit ribosomal RNA
Source: RNAcentral